AUUGAACGCUGGCGGCAUGCUUUACACAUGCAAGUCGAACGGGAACUUGCCUUCUGGUGCUGCCGAGUGGCGUACGGGUGCGUAAUGCAUCGUAACGUACCCAGAGGUGGGGGAUAACGCAGCGAAAGCUGUGCUAAUACCUCAUGUGAUCUGAGGUUUCAAGCUUGGGACCGAGCAGCAAUGUUUGGCCUCGUGCCUUUGUAGCGGCCGAUGUCGGAUUAGCUCGUUGGUGGGUUAAAGGCCUACCACGGCGACGAUCCGUAUCUGGUCUGAGAGCACGAAUAGACAGACUGUGACUGAGAAACGGCAGAGACACCGACGGGAGGCAACAGUGGAGAAUUUUGGGCAAUGGGCGAAAGCCUGAUACAGCAAUGCCGCGUGCGGGAAGAAGGCCUACGGGUUGUAAACCGCUUUUGGCAGGAACGAAACGGUGUCCGCUAAUACCGGGCGAUAAUGACGGUACCGGCAGAAUAAGCACCGGCUAACUACGUG
Molecule: ribosomal RNA, 492 nt
Filed under: uncultured bacterium
Lineage: Bacteria
Description: partial 16S ribosomal RNA
Rfam family: Bacterial small subunit ribosomal RNA
Source: RNAcentral